Molecule: non-coding RNA, 1587 nt
Organism: Doryrhamphus excisus (bluestripe pipefish)
Lineage: Eukaryota; Metazoa; Chordata; Actinopteri; Syngnathiformes; Syngnathidae
Source: RefSeq, a predicted model, not a curated record
GCCAUGGAAGGGGACAGAAGAGAGGGGAGGUGGUGGUUGGGACCUCAGGGUUACAUUCCUGAAGUGCAACCAACCUGGUGUAGCUCCUCUGCCCCAAUGUAAACACAGCAUGCAUGGAAAGGACCACCGGAAGUCUGUACGAGUCGCUCGGAGAAAGACGAAUGAGGAACAGUAUAAGAAGCUAAACCAUGACAGUUACUUCAAGAUUGUUCAUGCUGCUAGCACGUCUGGACUCGUUGAAAAUGAAUGGAUCACUUGUCGGUGCCAUAGCUACACCUAGUGGCCAUAGAAGAUAAUGCAGAACCAAUGCAAGCCCCAGCAUGGAGAAGAUUCCAAUUCCAAUCCCAAUCCCGAGCCCAAUCGGAAUGGAAAUGUUAGGAGGAUCCUUUGGAACACCUUUGGAUGAGAAAAUGUCACUGUGGUAAAAAGUCAUUUUUGGAGUCAGGCCAGGAACAAGUUGAAGGAUGAAGUGCUGGAAGUGUUGUACAGCCAGGUGUCCGGAUCGCGCUCUUCACUGACAUUCAGAACCUUCCACCAUUGGCUGCUGUUGUGAUCAACAUCAUUCCACGUCAGAUUGGCGAGUGGAUAACCUCCGUGUGAGGCACACGUCACCAAGCAGAUGUUGUCAUCGCAGGACAUGGGCAAGAAAUCGUCACAUUCUCACCAAUCUCCCUUGUGAGCUGAAUCAGAGCAGUGCUUCCUGGAAGAGAAGCAAAAGAUCAUUGAGUGCUGGACUUCUCUUUUUCCAACUGUGAGGGGGUGUGAAGAUCAUGAUGCAGUAAAUGUCUCAUUUCCUCUCACAACUUGGCGGUUCUUUAUCCCCUUUACACUUGUUCCGAGUUCCUCUACCAUACAGUCGUCCUUUGCCUUUCUUCCAAAUCUAGUUAAUGUAGCCUUUUAACGCAUACGAUAUUGAUGGAAGUCUAUUCUAUUCUACUUAUUUUCAGUCGCAUAUUUACAAACCCUAUUGUACAUCUUGAGGAAACGAUCAGUGCGGACCACAAUGAGGUGUUUGUGACUUUUUUAACCACAUAUUUAUUUGUGGCUUGACAGUUGUUCAUUUAUGACCACAAUCAUAACUCCUUCCCUGUUACUAACGAGUCGACGAGUCUUUAAGUAGCUGUACUGUAGAGUUUCCAUGUGUCUGCAUUUCUGUAGUUUCCAAUUGUCAUAGGUGUACGAGAAUAAAAAUGAAAAACAUUAUUAAUGUGCCUGAAUGCCUCACGGUGCCUGCACAAAGCGGACAGCAGAAGGGAGACAGAGCAUGAAACAUGAUUGUUCUAUGUGUAUUUAUAUGAAGCACAUAAUAAUUUUGAUUAAUUCAUUUAUAUUGGACAAUUAGGUGUUUUUGAAUUUUUGGAAUCAGGAUUAUCAUGUUUGUUAAAUAUUCCCCUCUUCAAUUUGGUAUCAAAUUAAUAUGCAGACUUAAAUCAUGGUGAGUGGACAAAAAAAAAAAGUGCUCAAAUUCAAACCAUUCAAACAAAAGGAUCCCAACAUCAACCUGGAAUAAAAUAUAUGUAGAAUAAUUACUUAUCUAUUUAUCAGUGCUCAUGUGAGACUUUAUCAAAAUGUGACCGUGUCAAAUAA